AUUGAACGCUGGCGGCAUGCCUUACACAUGCAAGUCGAACGGCAGCACGGGUGCUUGCACCUGGUGGCGAGUGGCGAACGGGUGAGUAAUACAUCGGAACGUACCUUAUCGUGGGGGAUAACGCAGCGAAAGCUGUGCUAAUACCGCAUACGCCCUGCGGGGGAAAGCGGGGGAUCGCAAGACCCCGCGCGAUUAGAGCGGCCGAUGCCUGAUUAGCUAGUUGGUGGGGUAAAAGCCCACCAAGGCGACGAUCAGUAGCUGGUCUGAGAGGACGAUCAGCCACACUGGGACUGAGACACGGCCCAGACUCCUACGGGAGGCAGCAGUGGGGAAUUUUGGACAAUGGGGGCAACCCUGAUCCAGCAAUGCCGCGUGAGUGAAGAAGGCCUUCGGGUUGUAAAGCUCUUUUGUCAGGGAAGAAACACCGGCUCUAACACAGUCCGGGAAUGACGGUACCUGAAGAAUAAGCACCGGCUAACUACGUGCCAGCCGCCGCCGUAA
RNAcentral lists this ribosomal RNA (501 nucleotides) under uncultured bacterium. RNAcentral describes it as "partial 16S ribosomal RNA". It matches the Rfam family "Bacterial small subunit ribosomal RNA", at positions 29 to 523 of the family's 1533-position model. The record is from RNAcentral.